This 253-nucleotide ribosomal RNA is filed under the name uncultured bacterium. RNAcentral's name for it is "partial 16S ribosomal RNA". It matches the Rfam family "Bacterial small subunit ribosomal RNA", at positions 524 to 776 of the family's 1533-position model. The record is from RNAcentral.
UACGUAGGGUGCAAGCGUUGUCCGGAAUUAUUGGGCGUAAAGAGCUCGUAGGCGGUUUGUCGCGUCUGCUGUGAAAACUCGGGGCUUAACUCCGGGCCUGCAGUGGGUACGGGCAGGCUAGAGUUCGGUAGGGGAGACUGGAAUUCCUGGUGUAGCGGUGAAAUGCGCAGAUAUCAGGAGGAACACCGGUGGCGAAGGCAGCACUCUGGGACGGUACUGACGCUGAGACGCGAAAGCGUGGGGAGCGAACAGG